GGGAAGUUUCCAACUCCCCAUUUUUCUUUUUCCGAUAACCUCUUCAAUUCGCAUUGUUCUUGUAUUUGAAGGUGUGUGAUAUUCUUUGUGAUCUUUCACAAAGACUUGAUAAAGACAAGAAGAAGUGACUGGAGGAAUCUUACACCAUGUCCUUUUCAUCGAGUUCUCCCAUCUUCCCUACUAUUAGGAAUCGGUCUCCAGGAGAUCAGAUCAGAGAUGGGUGAAGAAGUAUUUUGAUUUGUCGUGAGAAAAAUUUGAAGGCCACUCGUCCUCUUCACUCCGUUGCUCUUACGUGGGAAAAAGUCUUUCUCUCACCCUUAAGUUUGUGGAGGAGAAGCUUCUCUUUCAACCCUAUUUCAAGAAUCAAGAGAGGAUGAUUUUUAUUUUGUCUGUCUCGUCUGCAUUUGUUAAACACUAGUAGAAAUUUCUUUAAUGUAAAAGUUUGAUCUGUCACGUACCUGGCGCUUGUGCCUUCUUUGAUUGUUGAAUAAGACUCCUGUUUUUAAGUUUAUCUACCCUUCUUUUAAUGAAAGAAUUUGACUCCGGAAAUUGUCCAUUUUCUUCUUGUUUUGGUUUGAACUGACCUACUUUAUGAUUCACAAAAUGUAGGGGUUACUUUCGGAGCCUCCCAGCGAAUCGUCAAACUCAUGUGCUGAAAUGAAUCCCUUUUCCAUCCUUUUGAAUUAAGGUCAUGGCGCCAAGAUUUUCCUCUUGUAGAUUUGGGCUUUCACAUUCUUCCCCUUUUGAAC
This 749-nucleotide long non-coding RNA is filed under the name Eutrema salsugineum. Its description in RNAcentral is "long non-coding RNA (ESAL_LNC000909)". The record is from RNAcentral. Lineage: Eukaryota; Viridiplantae; Streptophyta; Magnoliopsida; Brassicales; Brassicaceae.